CGGGAGCAGUGCUCCGGCCGGAAACCCAGACCCCGACUUUUGAUGCCCGGCGCCUGCGGCUCGCUCCCGGGGCAAAGCUCGCAAAUCCUGCAUCCCCAUCCCAGACAGCAUCCCUUCCCUAAUCAAGGUGCUGUUUUAGAUCCUGGGGAUUCAGCAGUGAACAAAGUCCCGGCUUUGGUUAUAUUUUGGUGGGGAGAAACAAAAUAAAUAAGGAAAUUUAUGAUACGAUAAAAGGCGAUGAAUGCCAAGGAAAAAGCAGGAAAGGAGAAUGGGAGCUAUAAGGUUGUUUCAGUUUUUAAUGGGGCGAUCAGGAAAGGUUUCACUGAGAAGGUGACCUUUGAGGCAGGUGAAUAAGAGCCAUGUUGGGAAAAUCAUUCCAGGCAGAGGGAACAGCAAGGACCAAGGCCCUGAGUCAUGAGCCUAAUGCCGUGUCAUUUAAGGAUCAGCAAAGUGGUCAUGGAGUGUCUGGAACAGGAGGUAAAGAAAGAGUAGAAAAUGUGGUUGGGGAAAAAUACGGUUUUAAGGACUUUAACUUGGAGAAAUUGGGGGAGAUUUUGGAGGAAUUUACAUGAUCUGACUUCCGUUCAACAGCUUAGUCUGGCUGUUGAGGGGAGAAUAGAGUGCUAGGGGGAAAAGGUAGAAGUUGGGAGACAAGUCAGGAGACUAUUACUAAUCUGGACAAGUUAUAACAGUAGCUUGACCCAGGUAAAAACAGCGGAAACAGUGAUAAGUAGAAUCUGGAAAUACAUACAGAUUUUGAAGGCAGAGCUAUAAGGAUAAUUUAAAGUACAAGAAGCAGACUGUGUGAAAAAGAAAGGAGUCGUUGAUGACUUCAAGACUUUUGCCAUGAGCAACUGGAGGGGUGAAGCUGUCAUUGACUAAGUAGGGGCAGACUGUUUCAGACACUGUUUUAGGCACAAGAAAUAAAACCGUGAAGUAAAACAAUCUCUACCUCAUGACGUUGACAUUCUAGCUGGAGGAGACUCAUAAUAAAUACAUGGAUAAAUAAUUACAUUCAUAUAAAAAUGUCAGGUGGCAAAAAACCGCCCUAAGGAAAACGAAAUUAAGAAAGAAAGGCCUCUCAAAUAAAGGUAACAUUUGAGAAGAAACGAAAGAAGUGGGGUGCCCAGCCAUGCACAUAUUUGGAGGAUUAGUGCCCCAGACCUGGAUACUAGGGCAGUCCUUAAUAAGCGAGGAGGAGGUGGGAGAAGGCAUGAGGUCAGAAGGGUGACCGGGGCUGGGUCAUGACGAAGGCCUUGUGGAAUAUAGCGAGGGCAUCAGUGUAUUCUCAGUGAGGUGCCAAGCAAAAGAGUGACAGCAGCUGCUUUGUGUUUCAGAGGGAUUCAUCCGGGCUCUGGAGAAUAGGUCGUAAGGGGGCCGAGGGGGGGCCACCGAAAUAACCCAGGUGUGGGCUGCUGUAGGGUGAGACGUGAUGCUGAUGAGAAGUGGUCACAUUUAAAGGUAUAAGCAAAACGCCUUUCCUGAUGGAUUGGAUGUGGGGUAGGAGAGAAAGAGCUAAGAAUGACCACAAUGUUUUGGGUGUGAACUUAUGUAAGAAUUCAGGUGCCGUUUAACUGAGAUGGCAAAUACUUCUGUGUGGGCUCAUGAUACAGUUUGGAGGGAAAAGAUCAAGGGUUUCUUUUGGGGUAUGUUUAAGUUAGUGAUGCCUAUUCAGUAUCCAUAUGCAGAUGUUGGGUAUGCUGCCAAAUAGAUGUGUUUGCUGUUCAAGGUAGGGCAACAACUGGAGGCAUAACUUUGGAAGUCAAGGUCAUCAAGAGUCAAUGUGGAGAGAGAGAGAUCAGAGGGCUGAGACAUACAGAAGCAGGGACCAGGAAGGAGAAUCCACAAAAGGAGGCUAAGAAUGAAUACCCACGAGGCAGAACGAAAGCCAGUAGAAUGCGGUGUCCUGGGAGCCAAGUGAAGAGAAUGUGUCCAAAAGUGCAGUCAGCUAUGUCUCAUGCUGCUGAGAACUGCAGCAAGGUGGAGACUGGGGGCUGACCAGGUUAGGAAGUUGGGAUCGGUGACCUUGCCAAGAGUGGCUUCAUUGUUGGAGAUGAAAGCCAAACAGAGUGGGUUCAACAGAGAAUGGUGGAAGAGUGUGGACCACUCGUGCGGGGAUUUUGUUGUAGACAGAGGCGGAGGAGCCAUAGCUGGUAGGCAAUGUAGAGUCAAAUGAGACUUUUACAUGUUUUUCUUUCUUUGCCCACUUAAGAUGUUUAUAAGCUGAUGGAAAUGAACUUUCAGAGAGAAAUGAUGGGACAAAAGAGAGAGGGAAUGAUUUCAGGGUGGUAUCACUGAGCUGAGGAGAGGGGUGGGGUCCUCGUAGACAGUUCGUCUGUGGCAGAACCAGGAAAGAAGGGGAGACGUGUCAGUCAGACAUAGGCACUGGCGGGAACAUGGUGGAUGGCUCUUCGCAUCGUUCCCCCGGAAACGGGAAGUAAGUCAUCAGCCGAGCGUGGAAGUGGGAGGGUCGUACAAGGUCUGAGGACAGAGCAAAGACAUAAUAUAUCUUGGAAAUAGGAGAGUUACAUCAGAUAUCUGGUUAAUUGUCAGGCAGCAUUAGGGGCCCUGGACAUCUGUGAUCAUAAAUAUGAAGAUAAGACCAGUCAACACACCCAGCCAUUCAGCUGCUUUGUUAAAACCCCUUUGCCCCAAAGGGACCAAUUAAAUGUAUUCACAACUUGGAAGAUAUCUUCCCGGUAGUAUACUACUGACAGCCACUUGUCAUCACAGGGAUACGUGCCUUUUUGUUUAGAAAGAGAAAAGAUAACUCAUCUGACAGAUCUUUUAAGUAUUUCACCAUGAGCUGUCCAACAACCUUUUAUGUUCAUCGAAGAACUUUCAUAGACUUCGGCUCGCUACAGAGUACAGUAACAAUCCCACGACAUCCAAAAGGUCUUGUGUAUAUAAAAUUAGCUAUAUCCACGGCAUUCUACAGCAACGUAUGUACCUCUGCCUGCAAUUUUUGCUGCUACUUCCUGCUGGUGAAUGAGGUAAUGGAUGGAUUUUACCAGUGGCACUUAUCUCAGAGUUCUUUUAUUAUUUUAGUCAAACCGGCCAAUCCUUCCAUGGCUACGUGGACACAAUUUUACCACAAAAUAUUGUUUUAAUAAAAGAAAUGAUUUACUGUCCA
Long non-coding RNA from Pteropus alecto (black flying fox), 3133 nucleotides. RefSeq lists it as uncharacterized. The transcript is spliced from 2 exons. Lineage: Eukaryota; Metazoa; Chordata; Mammalia; Chiroptera; Pteropodidae. The record is from RefSeq and is a predicted model, not a curated record.